AUUGAACGCUGGCGGCAUGCUUUACACAUGCAAGUCGAACGGCAGCGCGGGCUUCGGCCUGGCGGCGAGUGGCGAACGGGUGAGUAAUGCAUCGGAACGUGCCCAGUAGUGGGGGAUAGCCCGGCGAAACCCGGAUUAAUACCGCAUACGACCUGAGGGUGAAAGCGGGGGACCGAAAGGCCUCGCGCUAUUGGAUCGGCCGAUGUCGGAUUAGCUAGUUGGUGGGGUAAAGGCUUACCAAGGCGACGAUCCGUAGCUGGUCUGAGAGGACGACCAGCCACACUGGGACUGAGACACGGCCCAGACUCCUACGGGAGGCAGCAGUGGGGAAUUUUGGACAAUGGGGGCAACCCUGAUCCAGCCAUGCCGCGUGCGGGAAGAAGGCCUUCGGGUUGUAAACCGCUUUUGUUCGGGAAGAAAUCCUCUGGGCUAAUACCCCGGGGGGAUGACGGUACCGGAAGAAUAAGCACCGGCUAACUACGUG
RNAcentral lists this ribosomal RNA (484 nucleotides) under uncultured bacterium. RNAcentral describes it as "partial 16S ribosomal RNA". It matches the Rfam family "Bacterial small subunit ribosomal RNA", at positions 28 to 507 of the family's 1533-position model. The record is from RNAcentral.